Long non-coding RNA from Xenia sp. Carnegie-2017, 721 nucleotides. RefSeq lists it as uncharacterized. The transcript is spliced from 2 exons. The record is from RefSeq and is a predicted model, not a curated record. Lineage: Eukaryota; Metazoa; Cnidaria; Anthozoa; Malacalcyonacea; Xeniidae.
UCUUGCAUAACAACGUCUCUUUUGAUGGUGCUCCAUGAUGACGUAUUGGCUUCCUUUAGUUCUUCUGGCGUAGUAUCUUGUGGCAAUCCAAGAGGUUCAUUGUCGAGAGUGAUGAAAACGCUAUUUCGGUAGUCUUCUGGAAGACUUUCGAAAUCCCACUCGUCAUAGAAAGAAAAAACUGCGAAAAAAUGUUUGCAAGGGAAAUGGGUAGUGUGCCAUAUGUUGCAGGUACAACUUGGUUCUCGGAAGUCUAUGAAAUGUUUCUUUCCAACAUUGCUCUCGCUCUUGACAUUGAAGGUGCCCUUCUUUAAAUUAACCGGAGUUAUGUCGUCCUGUUUGAAAAUGGCUGAAGCGUAUCGAUUUUUAAGGCAACAUUUCAAAAAAUGCGGAGGUCUGUUGUGCAAGUAUUCUGGGAUUGAUGGGUUGUACUUGCAGUAGGCGCUGCUCAGUCGUAGGUUUGCAUCCAAAUAGUGCUGAAGAACAUCGGGAAUGAAAGAUUCAACCAACAUCACCGCAAUACCAUACACAGAUUUGUCAAUACUUUGGGAAGGAAGUGUUGUUGCUGUUCAUAUGACAAUCCAUUCUUGCUUGCUGAAGCCCACCGUUUUAGCGCUUGCAACCUGUGAAAGUCGCAAACAUAAACCUGUACAUCGGGAAAACUUUUUUCUAUCGCGCCUAUUUCUGCUAAUGAGUAAUCCACCAUAAAAUAUUUUGGGUUCCA